RNAcentral lists this transfer RNA (76 nucleotides) under Mus musculus (house mouse). RNAcentral's name for it is "tRNA-Val". Lineage: Eukaryota; Metazoa; Chordata; Mammalia; Rodentia; Muridae. The record is from RNAcentral.
GCUGGGGAUUUGGCUCAGUGGUAGAGCACUUGCCUAACAAGCUCAAGGCCCUGGGUUCGGGUCCUCAGCUCUGGAA